Molecule: transfer RNA, 60 nt
Filed under: Escherichia coli
Lineage: Bacteria; Pseudomonadati; Pseudomonadota; Gammaproteobacteria; Enterobacterales; Enterobacteriaceae
Also listed under: 23 other names
Description: tRNA-Lys
Rfam family: tRNA
About the family: Transfer RNA (tRNA) molecules are approximately 80 nucleotides in length. Their secondary structure includes four short double-helical elements and three loops (D, anti-codon, and T loops). Further hydrogen bonds mediate the characteristic L-shaped molecular structure. tRNAs have two regions of fundamental functional importance: the anti-codon, which is responsible for specific mRNA codon recognition, and the 3' end, to which the tRNAs corresponding amino acid is attached (by aminoacyl-tRNA synthetases). tRNAs cope with the degeneracy of the genetic code in two manners: having more than one tRNA (with a specific anti-codon) for a particular amino acid; and 'wobble' base-pairing, i.e. permitting non-standard base-pairing at the 3rd anti-codon position.
Source: RNAcentral
UUAGCUCAGUUGGUAGAGCAGUUGACUUUUAAUCAAUUGGUCGCAGGUUCGAAUCCUGCA